Long non-coding RNA from Trifolium pratense (red clover), 173 nucleotides. RefSeq lists it as uncharacterized. The transcript has 2 exons. The record is from RefSeq and is a predicted model, not a curated record. Lineage: Eukaryota; Viridiplantae; Streptophyta; Magnoliopsida; Fabales; Fabaceae.
GUAAGAGAGCAAAGCAAGAGGGUGCUAGGACUUGAGAAAGGGAGGAACUCAUGAGAGCUAGAUCAUGAGGAGCUUGAGGAUUCAUCAAAUUUCUAAGAUAUCCAGAUUGACAGGUUAUAUGUUAGCUUGUCCGAGUAGCGUGGUGAAGCUCCGCUCUGAUUGUGACACGGGGA